Myotis daubentonii (Daubenton's bat) is the source of this 8818-nucleotide long non-coding RNA. RefSeq lists it as uncharacterized. The record is from RefSeq and is a predicted model, not a curated record. The transcript has 3 exons. Lineage: Eukaryota; Metazoa; Chordata; Mammalia; Chiroptera; Vespertilionidae.
UUAAAGAUCUGAGAUCAGCAGGAAGAGAUAAAAACCACAGAUUCAGGGAAAUAUAAAGAGUCUUCAGUUUAGUUUUUAUUUAAAUGCAUGUGUACAUUCAAGUUGGUCUGUUCCUGUUUAGAUCCUAAAGAGCAGGAAAAAGCACUAAUUAGGCUUUUGCGAUGGGUUUGACUCCCCAAUUUUGAAUAUUUAUGAGGCUUUUUUGAGCAUAGGUUUUAAAGGCAAAUAUGCCAGAUUCCAGUCUCUUCUCUGAUUCAUACUCUUUGUAUGAUCUUGAAUAAUUAUGUUUGCUGAGUUUCACUUUUUCAUCUGUUAAGAAGGAAGGGGUGAUCAAGUAUGGCAAAUUAGGAGAACUGAGAAUUAACCAUAUAUAUAUAUAUAUAUAUAUAUAUAUAUAGAGAGAGAGAGAGAGAGAGAGAGAGAGAGAGAGAGAGAGAGAGAGAGAGACAGACAGACAGACUAUGCAAAUUAGGCCAGGACGCCGGUAAUGGGUCACAACCAGACAGGAGGAGGUUGCACGAACAGGUGAGGCCUGGAGCGGAGGAGACAGACACAGGAGGGGUUGCCUGAGCUGGCACAGCCGCUCCAGAGGCCCAGAGCGGACUCAGGUAGGAGGCCAGGGGGUGCCUAAGGCGGAAGUCAGGCGCGGGUCCUGGCUGCCCUUGGCGCCAGUCAGGCCUGACUCCCGCAGCAGCCCAUGGGGUGCCUCCUCGCAUGGCGGGAGGCGGGGCUCCUACUUGCGCAAUUUCAAUUGUGCGCUGGGCCUCUAGUUGGUUUAAUAAAAUAUACUUGGAAUGAGUGAAUGAUGCCUCCUUGGAAAAAUAGUAGAUAUUUAAUAAGUGACUCCAUCAUUUAAGAACUGCUGUUUGGGUUUUUAAUAGGAUUAUUUUGAGAAUUUUGUGAUGACUUUUAGGGAUAGUUCACACGAGGCUUGUUUAAAUUCUCAUUAUUUGAUUAUUUGGCUAUAAAAAGGAGAGUGAUAAGCAAUGGGGCCAUUUGUUGCUUAAAAUGAAUUAUGUGGCACAUUUGGUAUAGCCCAUCUUAAUGCCUUAAAAUUUUUCUGUUAUUAUCUACCAAGAUCUCUAUUUUAACAUAUGUGGAGACUGAGAUAUGAACCAGUGAAAUCUAAUAUCCUUGGAGAAUGUCAUGUUUGUGGCAAGGCUUAGAGCAGCGAUUUUCAACCUUUUUCAUCUCAUGGCACGCAUAAACUAAUUAUUGAAAUUUUGCGGCACACCAAAAAAAUACAUUUUUUGCUGAUAGGAUAAAAAUAGGUUACUUUUGAUUCUUUCACACUGAGUGGUUGUUAUUGUGCUGAUUGUUGUCAUUCUUUAAUUUGACAGCCUAAGGGAAAAGAUGUCAGUGCCUCUGACAAAAUAGCUAGUUAGUGCAUGUUGUACAACUUAUUUCGGCACGCAGUGUGCCUCUUGGGGCACACUGGUUGAAAAUUGCUGUCUUAGAGCAGAAUGCUGGCCUCCAUUGUGUGUAAUCUUCAGGGCUUUCCUACUGCUACUCACUGGCCAAAGUAUUUUCAUAGCUCUUUUUCUGAAGUGCUAGGUGAGCCUUUAGUAAUUUGUCUUUUUAUAGGGCUAGACUUGUAAAUGAGUAGUAAGUAAACAAUAGAAAUAGUAAGUUGGAAAAACGUAUCCAGGCUUGUAUAGUGGUUUUUAAAUUUUAUUCAAGGAAGCUGCCUCAGGAAUCUCACCAAGGAAGGCCAGUGUGGCAAAACUUUAGUUCUGCUUCAUAUAGAUCAGCUCAACUUGUAUCUAUUUUAUGUAUUAGGAUUCCGUUCAUAAUUUUAUUUGAAAAAGUGGCUUCACUAUCCCCUUCCCAUCAAAGGUUAAAAACUAGUGGUAUAGCUGAAAGAGCCUUGCACCAAGAGGUUAGCACUAGCUCUCCUGCAAACUAGUGGAACAUCUUAGGAGAAAGAAAUAAUUUGAUUGGAUAAUUUUUUAUGGUUUCUUCUGCCCCUCCAAAUAGUAUGAUUUAAAGAUCUGCUGUCAAGACCAUAAUUAGACUUGAAUUUGUUUUGUUUUGUUUUUCAGUGAAAGGGAAAGAAUGUGUAGGAAAGAAUUUCAGGUAUAAUUUAUUUCCAGAAGUGACCAUGACUUGUCCCAGGACUCUGGCCUGAAUUUAAGUGUGUUUGGUCUAGUUCAGGGGCAUGUAUAGUAUGCUCCUAUCCUGGAAGAAUCCUAUUGUUUUGAACCUUCUAUCUGACCACUAGCGUUAUUGUCCUCUUGCCUUUGGUGGCUCGCACAAAGACAUCAUCUGUUUAUAUUGGUAUAGUGAGGUCAUGUGACCUUAAGAACAGAUGGCCCAGGUGAAACUUGACUUUUUAGGUCUUGUCCCCUAAAUACGACCAGCUUUUGUUACAUGUGAUUAAAAUGUCACUAACAAGGCUAAUUUCACAUGCUGUUUGGCAAAUGUGGUUAGCAGAAUGUGACAUGACACAGCACUGCCUUCUUCCUCAAUGUGCCAUCUCCCUUGAGGCCUUAUCUCCCCUACUCGCCCCUGUCUCACUCAUGCCCAAGCUUGCCUUCCAGCUCACCUGCUCCAGAUGGGCGGCACAGUGGGAGGACACUGGCAAAGGCAGAUGUGUUUAUUUUCCGGAGACAAAAUGUUGUGCUGCCGCAGAUGGCAGUGCCUUGAAGCAAAUGGCAGCCUUUGACACUGCUGCCACAUAGCCUGGGCAUCUUGACAGACAGAGCUGGCUUACUUUUGGUGAUGGGGAAAUUGAAAAAAGAAAAUCAAGAUGCUCAUCGUAAAACUCAUGGAAUUUAGUACAAAUAGCAAUUCUAUUAGUCCUGGAGAGCAAUUUUCUUUUCCCUGAGACUGCAGUUAGUAUUUUCACAAUGGGCCAAAAGUUAUAUGUCUGUUAAUUAUUUUUGUCUCGUAGCCUUAAUAGGACAUAAAGUAAAAACUGAAAACAUACGGCGAUGUUUAGGUGGGUAUUCAGUGAUAUUGCAAAACACUUGUGCAUCCCAGGUCAUAUCUCACAGGAGUCUCUUAGGAUUGGUUGUAGGUCAUGUCUGCCCCAUUGGAGAUACUGUUCUAUUAUCCAAAGGCCCAGGGACAAAUGUGCCUUGAAAUUGAGAUGCCUUAAUUAAUAUGACAGUACUUUAUGCUUACAAUGUUUUUCUACCAAGAAGAAUAAGAAUUCUGAUAGCUGCCCUUUUAAGCAGUUUGCUUAUGCUGUCAUUAGGGCUUGACAUAAGAUAUUUAGGAAGAUAAAGACUUACAUGUUGAAUCAUUAUACUUACUUGUCUCUCUCCUAAGAAAAAAUGGCUUAAGAAGAUUCUUCUUUGAAAGUUACUGGCUUUAUCAGGAAACCUUUUAUUUCCUUCUUUUUAAAAAAUAUGUGCUGUUUUUCCCAGCCCUAGUGCUGAUAGAGUUAGGAGUUUGCAGGUGUAAAGUCCUCCCCCUCCCCUUCCCCAUCUCUCUCCAGGGGGUUAUAUGUGAGAAGGUGUUGCUUUCUCGCUCAGAGAGCAUAUAUGUGCUACCCUGUUGGAUGCCUGCUGUGAACAGAGAGAACCCCUGUUCUGGUUGAAUGGAAUGAUGCUAUUGGGUGGCUGGGAUUAUGCAACCCCAUAAUGCCAAGUAUCCACUUAAAGCAUCUUUCCUACCCACAGUGGAGGUAGAGCAAUAUAGGUAAUUGGUCUAAAUUUGUAUUCUUUUGAAACUUGUGUCUUGAAAAUUAUAUGAUUUCCUAUCAUGGUAUGGGUUAAGCCAGGAGCAGCAAAGUACUGAGCCUGCUUAGUAAAAACAUACUGUUAUUUUAUUCAUUCAUUCAUCACCCAAGGAUAUGUUCUUAUUGAUUUUUAGAGAGAGAGGAAGAGAGAGAAACAUCAGUGUGAGAGAGAGAAACAUCUAUCGGUUGCCUCCCAUAUGUGCCCUGACUGGGUUAGGUUUGUGCCCUAACUGGGAAUCAUCCUGAAACCUUUCAGUAUACGGGAUGACACUCUUAACCAGCUGAGCCACGUGGCCAGGUAACAUGCUUGUAGUUUUUAAAUGUUUGCCAUUGGAAGUUCCAGGCUACACGAACUUUUAAGAUUGCUUUAAACCAGUAUCCUGGCCUGUGUGGGCAUGCCCUUACACACUCACAGAUACAAAUAUACAUAUACCCUGGCAUCUUGGUGCCUCUUUAUCUGCCCUGGCCCAGAACCAUGCAAGGAUAUGAACCCAGGGGCUGAUUCCAAAAACUCUGUGAGAUUUUCUUUAUUCUCUCCUAAAAAAUAAGUAUCUAAAAUGGAAGACAGCGGGGUCUUGGAUGGGGAAAGAGUUGACUGCUUUGUUUCUUGACCUGGGAAGUAGUUACAUGCAUAUUCACUUUAUUCCUUAAACUGUAUAUGUAUAUUUUAUGCAUUUUUAUAUGUAUGUGUUAUUUCAUUUAAAAAGUUUAAAAAAAUAAAAAGGAAGGAUUAAAGGACAUGAAAGCACAACAUAUUUUUUGAAAGUUAAAAAUGAAUAAAGUAAGUUCAUGGAGUACUACUUAGCUAUAUAAAAAAAGAAAAUCUUAACUUUUAGUGGCAGCAUGGAUGGAUGUGGAAAUUAUGCUAAGUGAAAGAAGCGAGUUAAAGAUAUACCUUAGGAUCUUACUUAUAUAAGGAAUCUAAUCAACAAAAUAAACAAAAUAGAAACAGAAGCAUAGUUACAUAGAACACACUGGCAGCUGUUAGAGGGGUGGGAGAUUUAGGGGCUGGGUGAAAAAAGGUAAAGGAAUUAACCAAAAAAUAUACAUGUAUGACACAUAGACACGGACUACAGUAUAAUGAUAGCCAGAGGGAAAGGAGGGUGGGAAGAGGUGGAAGUGGACAAAGGGAGGAUAAAUGGGGAUGGAAAGAGACUUGCCCUAACUGGUUUGGCUCGGUGGAUAGAGCAUUGGCCUGCAGAUUGAAGGGUCGCGGGUUUGAUUCCGGUCAGAGGCACAUGCCUGGGUUGCGGGCUCAAUCCCCAGUGGAGGGUGUGUGGGAGGCGGCCAUUCAGUGGUUCUCUCUCAUCAUUGAUGUUUCUAGCUCUCUCCCCCCUCUUCUUUCCUCUCUAAAAUCAAUAAGAAAUGUUCUGGGGGGAAAAAAAAGGAAAGAGACUUGACAUUGGGUGGUAAGCACAUGAUACAGGGUGCAGAUGAUGUUUUAUUGAAUUGUACACUUGAAACCUGUAUGGUUUUAUUAACCAGUGUCUCUAUAAAAAAAUUCAAUAACAUGAAAAUAAUAAAAUUUAAAAAAGAAAGUUAAAACUUAAAAAUAAGUUUAGAUUUACCUUUAUUUUUGAGUAUAGACGGUAGAGCAAAUAGGAUUAGCUAGACCAGAAAGAAAAGGGAGAGGGAAUAGUAAUUAUCUGUGAUUCUUUCUAAACUAAAAUAACCUGCCAGAAUUUCACAUUUCCCUUUCUCAUCCUAAUGUGUGCCAUUCCCUAUAAUUGAGAAGUUCCAUCGGUGCUGAUAUUCAUUCAUUCAUUCAGCAAAUCUACAGCCUGCAUUGUCCUUAGGGCUAUAGGAAGCAGAGGUGCAAAGCUCAGUGUGAGCCUUCAAGAUGGGGAAAUAGAGAAAUAAACAGUUAUUGCAGAGUGACAACUGCUAUAAUAGCCAUACAGAUGGAUAGGUGCUCUGAGAACAGAGUCUAACCUGAACCUUGAAGGACCAGCUGUCAGUAAGGCAAAGAUGAAACAAAAGGGAAAACUGAAAGCAUAGACCAAGGAGGUGUACAAGAGAAUGUGUUAGGGUUAGGCACAGUGGUUUUCUAAUGAUGUUUGGGGCAGGGUCAAAUAGUUCUUCUCUGAGACUCCUACUCCUAAUUUUUAAUCUGUUUUAACUGGAAGGGUACUAUAUACAAAUCAGGACUCUACUGAUUGAAUAACAGACAUAAAUAAAUGUCUUUAUAUAGUUUUUAUUACAUAGCUAACAUCCAAAAUAAAGUAGUUUGUUAAAUGCAGCUGAGGUUUUUAGGGGAAUGGUAAGAGAUUGAAACUAGAGAGGUCGUCCACGUUAUGAAAACUUUAAUGAAAAAGCUUUAUGCUAACCCUGGCCAAUUGCUCAGUGUUAGAGCGUUGGCCCAUGGACUGAAGGUUCGUAGGUUCUAUUUCAGUUCAUGGUCCGUACCUCAGUUGCAGGCACAAUCCUUGGCCGGGUUGGGUUGCAUGCAAGAGGCUACCAAUCAAUGUAAGAUCGGUGUUUCUCUCUUUUUGUCUCUCCCCCUCCCUUCCAUUCUCUGUAAAAUAGAAUCAAUGCAAUAGAAAUGCCUGGGUGAGGAUUAACAAAAAAGAUAAAGCUUUAAGCUAAAAGUAGUGGGGCUCUCUGGGAAUUUGUUGGCUGUGAAGGGGUUCACAUCAAACGAAAUUUAGUUAGACCAUUAGCUGCUCUUCGGUAGAGCUUUUGGGGAAAGAAGCAGGGAGACCAACGAGGAACUUCCAUCCAUCGAAGAAGCAGGAGUAACUUGUGUUGAACCUAGGUUGCUGAUGGGGAGCACUGUGUUCUAAUAGAGGGGGCCCUAAAUAGUCUUCUUCCCAAAAUUUCCUUAAUAAUCUUCAUCUAGUUGCUAUGGACAUCUGAAACAUAUACAAUCAUAUAUAGUCUUUUUUUCCCCAGUGGAUUUAUUUACUUGUCUGCUUAUUUUUAUCCUCACCUGAGGGUAUGUUUUUAUUGCUUUUAGAGAGAGAGGAAGGAAGAGAAAAUUUUGAUCGGUUGUUUCCCCUUAUGUGCCCCAACAGGGACUGAACCUGCAACUUAGGUAUGUGUCCUGCCCAGGAAUUGAACCCGCAACCUUUUUGGUGCCUGAGACCAUGCUCUAACCCAGCGGUCACCAAUCUUUCAGACCUCACGGACCACCAGUUGGCUACUGCUGCUCUAACCAAUUGAGCCAGCUAGCCAGGGCAGCAGAUGUAUUUAUUAACUCAGGGAGAUGUGUCAGUGCUGAUGUUCAACAUAAAUAAAUACUCAUGGGCAUGUUUAGGAUGUAUAACUUAAUAUAUGCCUUAUGUAGAAAGCAUAUCUUCUGCACUUGAAUUUUUGAGAACUGCCUUAAAGGUAUAUGGAAUCUUAAAUUUUCCCUGGAAACUGUCAGCUCAUUAAAAAGAAGAAUUCAAGUGGCCUUGUUGCAGACAUCGUGUUGUUGGUUUUGCCAUUGCACAAUCAGCAAUUUUAUUUUGAUGUUAUUUGGAGAAAACAGUAUUUUUGAUUAGCAAGUAAAAUUAAUGUAGAAAACAAAUACUGUGUUAACUAGUUGGUAUAAUAAGGCAUCUGUGCCAUGUUGCAUUUCAACUCAUUAAAUUUCUAAACUUCUAAUUACAAUAAGAUUACAACUUUAAUAGGAGAACGUUCAAACUUGGGGUUAGUCAUGGCUUUAGAGAAGUAAAAUUUACAGAAAUUUUGGAAUUACUGAAGGGGAACUCUAAAAUACAGUUUUGCUAAAAAUUGAAAUAUAUACAAUAUUUAUUUAUUUAGUUUUGCUCCUAUAAUUCAGAUUCAGUUAACAUUUAUUAGUCACUUACUACUUAGUAGGCCAUCUUCCAGGAACUUUAACACAGGGAGCACUUUUCAUUUUUCACAGCUAUCAGGCAAGCAGUAUUAUCUCUUACAUUCAGGUGGACACUCAAGGCUCCAAGGCCAGGUGACUUACCGUAGGUAACAUAAAUAUAAAGUGAUAAAGGGCCUAGCUGGUUUGGCUCAAUGGAUAGAGCGUCAGCCUGCGGUCUGAAGGGUCCCAGGUUCAGUUCUGGUCAAGGGCACAUGCCCAGGUUGUGGGAUCGAUCCCCAGUGGGGGUUGUGCAGGAGGCAGCUGAUCAAUGAUUCUCUUUCAUCAUUGAUGUUUCUAUCUCUCUCUUCCUCUCCCUUCCUCUGUGAAAUCAAUAAAAAUAUAUUUUUUUAAAAAGUGAUAAAGGCACAUUUGUUCUCAGAGCUUCAUUGCUUUUUUCACAAAAACACAUGCCUUAUCUUACAACUUACAGCAUCUCAAAAUCAUAGGUUAUUCAAAUAAUUUGAAGGGUGUUUUUCAAAUUUUUAAAAAUGUUUUUAUUGAUUUCAGAGAGGAAGGGAGAGGGAGAGAGAAAUAGAAACAUCAAUAAUGAGAAUCAUCAAUCACCUACCUCAUGAACGUGCCUACAGGGGAUCAAGUCCGAAACUCCGGACUUGUGCCCUGACCAGGAAUUUAACCAUGACCUCCUGGUUCAUGGGUUGAUGGUCAUCCACUGAGCUAUACUGGCCAGGCUAAAAAGUAUUUUAACUUUAAAGUUUAAAAUGUUGAUUGUAAAUACAGGAACAUUCCUGAGCUUAAGUUCAAGAACUCAACCAUUAUAAGAAUUUUUGCCAGUGUGUUAAGCAAAAACAUUUGAACAUAAGUUAAUCAUUAUUAAAGAAAAAUGAAGACUAUUUUUACAUUAUGAUUUUUGUAUCUGCCAACAUCAAACAGAUAUACUAAAUAUACUUUCAGAGAAUGACCUAAGGCAGAGAAAAGAAAAGGGAAACCUUGGUUAGACAGUCUCACUUUCUAAGUAAUGUUUCUUUUAUUUUGUUUUGGGCUUUUGAAAAUGAAAGGUUUGCUUCGUUUGAGAAACAUGUGCUCCCUCUUUUUCUCAAUUUAGUGUGAAAAUUUAUAAACAUGGGCCAGUUUGGUUUUUAGUGCUACAAAAUAUAAAUGUAUCUGAAACAGGAGAGAGGAAAAAAAGCCAGACAGUUAGUUUAACUUAACUUCCUUGUUGUGAAGUUCAGUAUAGUUUUCCAAUCCUGAUCAGUCAUAGAAUUAAUAGGACACUGUUUUCACCUUCCAAAUUCAUAGCUUACUAGUUCACAGUCUUAGAGGGUAGCCUUCCUGCUUCAUCUGUCUUUUUUUUU